Molecule: ribosomal RNA, 428 nt
Filed under: uncultured archaeon
Lineage: Archaea
Description: bacterial SSU rRNA
Rfam family: Archaeal small subunit ribosomal RNA
Source: RNAcentral
UACCAGCUCUUCGAGUGGUGUGGAUGUUUAUUGGGCCUAAAGCAUCCGUAGCUGGCUGGGCAAGUCCCCUGUUAAAUCCACCGAUUUAAUCGUUGGAGUGCGGGGGAUACUGUUCGGCUAGGGGACGGGAGAGGCAGACGGUAUUUUCGGGGUAGGGGUGAAAUCCUAUAAUCCCGGGAAGACCACCAGUGGCGAAGGCUGUCUGCUAGAACGCGCCCGACGGUGAGGGAUGAAAGCUGGGGGAGCGAACCGGAUUAGAUACCCGGGUAGUCCCAGCUGUAAACGAUGCAGGCUAGGUGUUUGGGCGGCCACGUGCCGCUCUAGUGCCGCAGGGAAGCCGUUAAGCUCGCCGCCUGGGGAGUACGGCCGCAAGGCUGAAACUUAAAGGAAUUGGCGGGGAGCACCACAAGGCGUGAAGCUUGCGGUUC